AAGUCGUAACAAGGUAACCGUAGGUGAACCUGCGGUUGGAUCAUUAACGAAAAUCAUCUUGAUCGGGCGUGGACGUGUCUGUCCUUCUGGGCGGCACGACCGCGUCUACAUCAACCAACCCCAUUUUUAUCUUUUUAAACCUGUUUUUUCACAUUGUUUUUGAACUCGGAGGUCCGCCGACAUUCUUGCAUUGUGGGUGUUCCGACGGGUGACAUUGAAAAGUAACAAUAAACAACUUUUGGCAACGGAUCUCUUGGCUCUC
Molecule: unclassified non-coding RNA, 262 nt
Filed under: fungal sp.
Lineage: Eukaryota; Fungi
Description: partial internal transcribed spacer region
Rfam family: Eukaryotic small subunit ribosomal RNA (bases 1-46)
Source: RNAcentral